This 492-nucleotide ribosomal RNA is filed under the name uncultured bacterium. RNAcentral's name for it is "partial 16S ribosomal RNA". It matches the Rfam family "Bacterial small subunit ribosomal RNA", at positions 29 to 507 of the family's 1533-position model. The record is from RNAcentral.
AGUGAACGCUGGCGGUAGGCCUAACACAUGCAAGUCGAACGGCAGCACAGUAAGAGCUUGCUCUUACGGGUGGCGAGUGGCGGACGGGUGAGGAAUACAUCGGAAUCUACUUUUUCGUGGGGGAUAACGUAGGGAAACUUACGCUAAUACCGCAUACGACCUACGGGUGAAAGCAGGGGAUCUUCGGACCUUGUGCGAUUGAAUGAGCCGAUGUCGGAUUAGCUAGUUGGCGGGGUAAAGGCCCACCAAGGCGACGAUCCGUAGCUGGUCUGAGAGGAUGAUCAGCCACACUGGAACUGAGACACGGUCCAGACUCCUACGGGAGGCAGCAGUGGGGAAUAUUGGACAAUGGGCGCAAGCCUGAUCCAGCCAUACCGCGUGAGUGAAGAAGGCCUUCGGGUUGUAAAGCCCUUUUGUUGGGAAAGAAAAGCAGCAGGUUAAUACCCCGCUGUUCUGACGGUACCCAAAGAAUAAGCACCGGCUAACUUCGUG